AUUGAACGCUGGCGGCAUGCCUUACACAUGCAAGUCGAACGGCAGCACGGGUGCUUGCACCUGGUGGCGAGUGGCGAACGGGUGAGUAAUACAUCGGAACAUGUCCUGUAGUGGGGGAUAGCCCGGCGAAAGCCGGAUUAAUACCGCAUACGAUCCACGGAUGAAAGCGGGGGACCUUCGGGCCUCGCGCUAUCGGGUUGGCCGAUGGCUGAUUAGCUAGUUGGUGGGGUAAAGGCCUACCAAGGCGACGAUCAGUAGCUGGUCUGAGAGGACGACCAGCCACACUGGGACUGAGACACGGCCCAGACUCCUACGGGAGGCAGCAGUGGGGAAUUUUGGACAAAGGGCGAAAGCCUGAUCCAGCAAUGCCGCGUGUGUGAAGAAGGCCUUCGGGUUGUAAAGCACUUUUGUCCGGAAAGAAAUCCUUGGCUCUAAUACAGUCGGGGGAUGACGGUACCGGAAGAAUAAGCACCGGCUAACUACGUG
RNAcentral lists this ribosomal RNA (486 nucleotides) under uncultured bacterium. Its description in RNAcentral is "partial 16S ribosomal RNA". It matches the Rfam family "Bacterial small subunit ribosomal RNA", at positions 30 to 507 of the family's 1533-position model. The record is from RNAcentral.